This 2374-nucleotide long non-coding RNA is filed under the name Homo sapiens (human). RNAcentral describes it as "HSALNT0407335". Lineage: Eukaryota; Metazoa; Chordata; Mammalia; Primates; Hominidae. The record is from RNAcentral.
CCAGUCAAUUCCGACUCCAGGCCCGGGAGGACAAUUUUAAAGUGUUUCUGCAGACAGACCCUCUGGCCGCGCCGGAAGUGUUUUAUGGACCUGUUUUUAUUCUUCCAGCCCUGUGGAAAGGAGGAGAGCCGCAACCCGGAGAGGGAGCCGGAAAGAAACACUUAAUCACCGGCGUCUCGCUGCUCGUCACGCGAAGAUGGCAGCGGCUCCCCUGGGUUUCAAGGUUCCGGGAAAGGCGUGUGUUCUGCCUUAAGGCGCGCGGGCUGAUGCGCUCUCUCCCUCGGCUCGGCGGCCGGCUCCGGCUCACAGAGCCUCUCUCAACGCCGGCAAGUGCAGCCGGGCCGCCCAGCCCCCAGGCCAGCCUGGCCCCCUCUGGGCCUGGGGUUGGCGAGGGCAGCUGGGCGUCUGCGCUGCCCAGCCCAGCCGCGGAUCCAUGGGGUUUCGCGAGCUGAAAGUAAAGGCUUGAGGGAGUGGGGACACCCACACCGACCCGCGGCACGCAGGGGAGUCAAGCUGCGGCCAAUGCAAGACGAGCAGGGUAGACUACUACUAGCGGUGGCCGGAGGCUCAGCCACCUUCGCGGGAGAGGGGAUUUACCGCCACCCUCAUCCACGCGCAGGCCCCACCGCCCGGUCCUCUCCUCUGAUCCCCGGGCCAUUGCGAAACACGGAGCGAACAGGUCCUCGCCAGCAGCCGUCAUUUCCCGGGAAGAUGGGAACCCACAAGCCUGACUGUGCUUCCUAAGGAUACUAGCGUGCGCGCAGACCUUGGGGGGAAAGAGGGCAGCGCGGUCUCCCCGACCCGGACUCUUCCCUGGCGCAGCACACAACCGCCACGGGCUUCCGAAGCGCCCGAGCGGGGAGGAGGAAGGAAAAGCGGAGGCCCGGGAGGCGGGCUGCGCGCUUGGAAGCCGUGUGUGUUUAUGUGUCUGCGCGCGCGCCCUGGCCGGACGGGUGUUGAGGGGAGAGUGAUCGUGAGCAACCCGGAACCAGCAGUCCCAACCUGGACUGACGAACUGGGCUCUCCAGUCCUGGGCCGUGGGGCUCCAUGCCUCGGGCUGGCGGGACAAGCGGCGGGGAGCCCGGAGCUUCGGAGCCGCCGCCGGGCAUCUAGCCAGCUCCGCGGGAGAAGCCCGGGGGCGCGUCGGGAGCCAGGGGACUGGUGUGAACUAGCCGCCCCCGCAGGCGGACGUUUAGCUCCGGCACCCGGGAGCACUGACACUGGGCGAUAAGGAGUUCCUCGGCAAUCGGCUGUCCCCAGUCCCCAGUCACCUCCGGCGGACGUGACCGCCGGAUGCUAUGCAGCUAGGUGGGCCAGGGGGGCCUUUGCAUUGCCUUCCCUGACCCCUUCCUUGCCGCGGAGGAGCCACAGUAAGAUGCCUCUGUACGACUCUCCAGAACUUUCUUUUGCAAAAUAAAGGCCAAAUGUUGGGCCUUCUAGUCUCUUCAUAUUUUCCUUUGGAAGGUUGGGGUCCAGGCAGUCCUCUCGAAACAACCCCCAAACAGAUCACUUUCAUUACAAAACGCUAGAGAGGCAACACAGCCCUAUUUCUCUCUCUGGUCAAUCCAGGCCCUAUCUCUCCCUCUGGUCAAUCCAGGCCCUAUUAUCCCAAGCUGUGCGGCUUUGGGCAAACCGCUUAACAGUUCGAAACCUCGGAGUCCUCAUCUGUAAAAUAAGACCAAUACUAUUAUCUACCUCGUAGGGUUGUUCUGAGGAUAACAUGCCUCCAUACAUAAGGUGCUUAGAACGCUGCCUCCAGUACAAUGCUACGUGUGUUUGUUACUAUGAUCUGGCACUCCCUUUGGAUGGGUAGGGAGUACAAAGUUCCGGGUUAAAGUUCCUGGAAGUUUACAUGGAGCCAGUGGUCUUGGCAGGGUGGAAAGGGCACUAUUGUAUGGCCACUGAAAAGUGAAGGCCAAAUGCCCUCAAACUGUCUAGGUCUCCACUAGACCGUCCCAUAAAGGCUUGUGUGUGUGUGGUGGUGGAUAGGAGGGAGAGUCCUUUUUAAUGGUGCUCAUUUAGACUGGAUUAAUAGCAAGUUCCGUCAGGGCUCAGGCACCAUUACCCACUCUCUCCCUGCAGCCCUGGGGAAGAGCGCUGGUUUCCAGGACCUCCAGCCUACUCUUCCAGGACACCUUUUUUGAUGGCUGAAGGCCACCUCUUUAAAUCAGUUCUCGGAGGAGUUGGCCAAAAGCCAUGUCCUCUGGGAUGUACUUUGGUCUAACACUGGUGCAGGGCUGGCGUAUGGCAGGCCUUGUCCCUGGGCCGCUGGCGGGCCACAUUUUACUGGUGCACAGAUGCAAAUACCACUUCUGUAGACAGAAUCGGUCAGACUUCUAAUUUCAAAAGGCUUCCCAUUACCUUUGAAAUGGCG